AGGCUUUACGACACAGACACAUGGAGCAGACCGGGGUAAGGACAGACACCCGGGGAAUCUCUGACCAGCUCUGGUCAGAGUGCUAGGUGUGGGCUUCCUUCGCCCUUUGUAUGACAAAGGCAUCUGGAAGCAGAGGAGAGGGGAAUGUGGGGCAACUCCCACCCCACAUCCCCAGUUUGGCCAAAAUUGCUGUGGCAGAGGCCACAGUUCUGUCUGCUAGGAGAGAGGUCCUCUGAUGGAAGCAGGAUCCUUCCCUGACUCCGCUCAGGGGUGUGAGGUGAGGCAGCCACCCCAGGGAGGUAAGUGUUCAUUGAUUAGCUCAGCCAGGGCAGCUGAGAACAGGAGCUGUUACCUGUCACUGGUGGGGAAGCUAAGGGAAGCCUCACUUCAGGGCGUGAGGGACACAUCCUGAUACAGAAUGGUGUUGUCUGCUUGCCCUGACAUACACGGUUUCCUUGGGAAUUAUAGUUUGCUUUGAGAUGAGAACACUGUAUUUGCAGUGUGAACCUUCUUCACCACUUACAGCCAUUGAUUUCACAAAUGAGUCCCAGCAAGGGAACUUUAUCAAUCUGCUUUUUCACCCCACACAUCACUGAAACCGUCUUUGGAAAAUUAUGAUUGAGACAGUGAAAGAGAUCUAACUUAAUCCACUCCAUCUUGCCGCUAACCUCCAAGCUGUCCUUGUUUAUUUCUGGGCGUAGGCUGAACUAAGUUUGGGAGAAACUCAGUUUAUAGUUUAUAGUUUAAAACAAAGAUGAUAACAGCCCUUUCCCAAAGUAGAUCUCCUUCUUGCCUGGGGACUAGAUGGCCUUUGUAGGGCUAACAUUAGCCAUAAGAUUAGAAAUUAUAAUUAGGAGGCAUGUAGCUGGAGGCUGCAAGAUUCUGACCCUCCCUCCUAAGAUCAGUGCUUGAGAUAUUUUGCAGACUUUGCCCUUGAUGGAUCAGCUGGCACCACCCAGAUAGAUAAACUGGCUCAUCUGAUCUUGUGGCCCCCACCUAGGAACUGACUCAGCACAAGAUGACAGCUUGAACUCCCUGUGAUUUCAUCCCUGACCAAUCAGCACUCCUCACUCACUGGCUUUGCCCGCCCACCAAGUUGUCCUUAAAAACUCUGCUCCCUGAUUGCUCCAGGAGACUGAUUGGAGUAAUAAUAAAACUCCAGUCUCCCACAUGGCUGGCUCUGUGUAAAUUACUCUUUCUCCAUUGUAAUGCCCCUGUCUUGAGGAAUCGGCUCUGUCUAGGCAGUGGGCAAGGUGAACCCCUUGGGUAGUUAGAUCACUGACUGUCCACCUGCCACACACAAUCCUGUGCUAUCUCCUGUUGCCCACGUGCCUGAGGUGAGCGAAGGACAUCUUUCCCUUCUCCAACCCCAGGCAUUCUUCUCUUGGAGAGUCUCAGGGCUUAGGAAAUGGUGUUGGGGGACCCACCCUCCCAAGCUUUGUAACUGGUAUGAAGCGGGGUCAUUUAUGACAUGAUGAGGCUGGAGGGUAGUUUUCACUCUCGUUUUCCUCGAGUUCUCCUCUGAGGCCAACACGUUAAGUCUGAGUCCAAUAUGAGGCCUCUGGACGCUGGCAUGCCUCUGAUUUGAGCAGGGGCGUCUGAGAAGAGCACUCUCGGUUAUGGAUCCUGAAGACUGAGUGCCAGGCAAUGCCACAAGUGCCCAAGAUCAAACAGUGCCACACUGCUAACAGAGAUGACAAGAACUGCUUGAACCUCUGGAGUAAUCUUCAUAUGCCCUGCAGCCCAAGUAACAAGAAGAAGGAGCAGAUCGAGAACUGAAGGGAUAAAGAGAAUUUGUGGCAUGUCUAAGCUCAUUUCAUCUUUGUAUUCGCUGGACAGAGUGUUUUUUAUCUGCUUUUAAUGUUGCAACCCCUGGGGCACAGGGAUACUUGUGGGACAAGUUAAGACCAUCGUGGGAGCCUGAGUCCCGAUGCUGACCUUCCCUGUGGCUGCACCAAGGUCACCUCCAGGGGGUGAGAAAACUGAGGCACAGAGUGAGCAUCUGAGCUGCCCAAGAGCAUACAUCUAGCCAGGGACAGAGUUAGGAUUUGUACCAGCUGGUUUGGUGCUCAAGCCUUCCAUCAUCACAACACCUUGGAGAGG
This is a long non-coding RNA of Piliocolobus tephrosceles (Ugandan red Colobus), 2103 nucleotides long. RefSeq lists it as uncharacterized. The record is from RefSeq and is a predicted model, not a curated record. The transcript has 3 exons. Lineage: Eukaryota; Metazoa; Chordata; Mammalia; Primates; Cercopithecidae.